Molecule: long non-coding RNA, 847 nt
Organism: Pezoporus occidentalis (night parrot)
Lineage: Eukaryota; Metazoa; Chordata; Aves; Psittaciformes; Psittacidae
Exons: 3
Source: RefSeq, a predicted model, not a curated record
GUCCAGCCUGAGAGCAGUGAGUCUCGGGGACAGCCUUCAGAUAGAGGCAAAUGCCCAGUGAGCAUAAAGAUGGAGUCUGAGGAGGGUGAAAAAGGGCUGUAAGCAACAGGGCAAGGCUUGAGGUUAUACAGAUUAAAUUCCCACCCUAUCUUUUUCUAUUUGAGUAGCCAGUAAUCCCUGGAUGAGCCUCACAGCAGACUCUGUUUGCUCUGUGCUCUAUCAAUGUUUAUCUCAUUUGCAGCAGAAAAAGCAAUCCCGGGAAACAGGAAAUUCACUCGGAGGAGAAACGCUGCAGUGCCCUCACUCAUGAGCUUUGGAGGGCAAAUCUGCCUCCGGGUUUCAGCAGACUAUUCUUCAGCCACCUUCCAUUCAUCGUUAGGAACAACAGCUAAAUAACUCCUAGCCUGUUUCAUAACAGGGAUACUAGCCUAAGAGGCCACAAAGUUGCAUUUUCUUCACAUUACUGCAUCAAGUAAGAAAUCUAAAGGCAGCAACUACUAUGCAAACACUGCAGCUAAUGGCACACAUGCAAACAAGCUCUUUCUGGUGAAAGAUCUGGGAGAUCUCGAGCCCUGUGCAAGCACCUAGUGCCUUUGGAGGAGAGGCCAGAUGGACAAAUAGCAAGUAGGCACUUGCAAGUGUCAGGUGCAGUCUCAGGCUCUGCCACAGGCUUGCCUUGAGUCUUUGGACAAACCUCUUCACUUUCUAGUUUAGUAUUUUUCAUCUGCUGAAACACGUAAAGCAGCUUACCUGUUUUAUUGGAGUGGGGAAACUUGAUCAGCUCCUAUUUUAAGGGGAACUUGGAACAGUUGAUGCUUAACUUUGUUAAAAAGCUAUCAAAGACGAA